GCCUGAUUAGUUCAACGGUAGAACGAGCCCUUGGUAAGGGCUAAACAAGAGUUCGACUCUCUUAUUAGGCU
This 71-nucleotide transfer RNA is filed under the name Candidatus Dojkabacteria bacterium. RNAcentral's name for it is "tRNA-Thr". It matches the Rfam family "tRNA". Rfam says of the family: Transfer RNA (tRNA) molecules are approximately 80 nucleotides in length. Their secondary structure includes four short double-helical elements and three loops (D, anti-codon, and T loops). The record is from RNAcentral.